GAAGAAGCUUACGAACUGAGCCCCUACCCCUAGCUGAAGACCAAAUGACAGUUAAUGGCUUUUAGGCAGGGAGGCUCAGUUUCCUUUAAGACUGUGGCCCUGGUAUGUCUGUUUCAGUGGCUAGCCUUAUACCUGUGAGUAUAUGAACAACACAAAGUAGACUUGGCUUUGCAGCAAGUGUGUGCUUCCUGCUGUCUGAGCUGUCUGAACGUGCAACAGUGUGGAGAAGAGUUCAGAGGGAGGAGAGAGAAGUCUCACCUGCGACACUUUGAAAAAGAUGACAUGGCAAUGCUCUUUUAUUGGCAAGAGGUUGUGAAAACAUUAAAAGUUCUUCAGCCUAGGAAGAGAGGGGAGCAAGGUGAUGGAGCUGCCAUUUACAGUCAGAGGUCCUGACUGCAUUCCUGACCCCUCACAGGAACCAGAACGGAGGCCCCAAGGCCCUCUGGAUGGAGCUUCACAGCUUCAGAUCCUGAGCGUCACAAGACACAAGACAGGAAUGGGACUAAUAGGAUUAGAAACAUAAUUUAUUUUCAGGAUAGGAGGUCUGAUUUAGACGUAUCACACUGGGGCAGAGAUCAACAUAGCACUCCAGUUUCUGAGCAACUACCAGACCUUCUUUGCCCUGGGAAGUCUGUCCAUACUGAGAAGGAAGGAUGGCAGGACCUGGGGACUCUUGCCACUCCCCACCUAGGGAGCCCUUCCUCAUGCUAAGCCUAGCUUCCUGCCAUAAUACUUACUGUAGUGGUUUGAAUAUGCUUGACCCAUGGAGUGGCACUAUUAGGAGAUGUGGCCUUGUUGGAGUAGGUAUGUCACUACGGGAGUGGACUUUAAGGCCCUCUUUCUAGCUGCCUGGAAGUCAGUCUUCUGUUUGCCUUCAGAACAAGAUGUAGAACUCUGAGCUCCUCAUGCAAUGCACCAUGCCUGCCUGGGCACUGCCAUGCCCGCCUUGAUGAUAAUGGACUGAACCUCCGAACCUGUAAGCCAGCCCCAGUUAAAUGUUGUCCUUAUAAGAGUUGCCUUGGGGCUGGUGAGAUGGCUCAACAGGUAAAAGCACCGACUGCUCUUCUGAAGGUCAUGAGUUCAAAUCCCAGCAACCAUAUGGUGGCUCACAACCACCCGUAACAAGAUCUGACGC
RNAcentral lists this long non-coding RNA (1135 nucleotides) under Mus musculus (house mouse). Its description in RNAcentral is "predicted gene, 34680". Lineage: Eukaryota; Metazoa; Chordata; Mammalia; Rodentia; Muridae. The record is from RNAcentral.